AGUGAGCUUGUUUAAUUCAUGACGUUCCAUGGGCAACAAAUGUAAAAUAUGGUAAUACAAUUAAUCCCAAAUUGAGUUAGAUAAAAAGAAAAAUAACAUGCAUCAAAGAUCAUUCAGUAAUGACUGUGGGAAAAGUUUAUUAAAUGGCCUUAAGUUAUGAGAAUAGAAAGGCUGAAAAAGAGUUCCAAAGGCUUUCUGGCCACCUAUUGCGGCAGUAGUUUGACAUCACUCACCAGAGGAAGACGUUAUUGAGAGCCAUCAUGGAUGGUUCCGUCUUCCCUCGAGAGAGGAAGACGGAUAUAUAUCCGUUCUUCCCUUGACGGGUUCCUACUCACCUCACUCAACUAUCUCAUCAUCAACAGGACGUACUUACCAGAGCUAUUUAACAUAGCCUUCGUCCUCAUUUAACACUCAUAGCUACAGUUGUUAAAUUAUGAUUGUGUUGCUGGAGGUUCCCCAAGCUCUUGAAGGUGAAGAAUAUAAUGGAAAAGAGACGUGACCGAUCGCCCAAGCGGCUAACAAGCCGAUCAGUGGCGAAGAGGAUAAAAGUAUUAGUUAAGGAGUUGGAUUCUACCGGUGAUACUUCAAACCUCUGUGUCCUGGUCACAAUGUUUCACUUCUGUAAUAUUUCUUUAAAGAUAACUAAAUGAUUAAGUCAUGUCUAAGGCAUUAGUCUGAAGGACACUUAUUGUUAGAUGAUGUUGUGUAGGGUAACUGUUAAGAGACCGAGUGGCUGUAAACAAACCCCAUGCUCCAAGCACCGCAUUUGGCGCAGAAUUUAAAGGUAUCGCGCUUAAUUUAGUGAACUAGUUCGCUAAAUUGAGCGAAAAUAACGGAAGGUCGAUCUAGCAUAAAUUUUGAUUUAACGGAAAUGGGUGGCUCGAAUUAGUUCAUUAAAUUGAGAAAAUACUGUACAUAUAGGUAAACCUCCACUUACAAUGGGGUUACUUUCCACAAUACCACAUCACAAAUCAAAAUACUGUAUUGUAAAUUGAGGUCAUUAUAACAUGGAGUUCAAUGGAAUACGUUUCCCAGCCAGUCCGACACAGAUGUAUCACUGAAAAAACCAAAUUUCUACACUAAUAAAAUAAAUAGAAAACAAACAACACUCACCACACCACAUCAUUAAGAACAAGCCGGGCCGCAACACAAUGCCAAGCUUUGCCUUCCUAGAUGCAGGAACCUUCAGCACCAACUUGCUAGACAUUUUCAAAGUUAUACUGCUCACUUCAUAGUCACUUGUCACAAAAACAGCAAAAGUACUUUACAAUCACACUAAACAUGAGGAAUAAAUAAAAAUAACAAUAGAUCAAUAAAAAGAAAAAAUACUGCAUUAACAUUUGGAAAUCAUUUCAUGGAACACGAGAGAACAGCUGAGAGAUCCCCCCGCGCCACUCCCCCACUCUGAGAGCUAACGCCAGUGCACGUAAGAAAUGUUUAUUUCCUUUAUGUUUUUGACCUUAUGAUAAUUAUUAAAAAAACAAAAAUAAAAUUGCACAUUCUGUAUAAAUGAUUGCGUGUGCAUGUAACAUAGAGAAAAAAAAUAAUGAAGAAAAUUAUGAUAAUGUAUUUUUCCCUACUGAGUCACCUCCUGGGCUGAUGUGUCACCUUUUUGGAUGCUGAUCACACAAAUUGAUUUCUGAAAGAACCUCUUCUCUGAUUAUACAAUAUUAUCAUCUCUUCAUACAAGUCUCCCAUUAAUUCUGAAAUUUUGAGGCAUAUAACUGAAGUAUUUGGUACCCUUAUAUACCUGUGGCAUUUUGUAAUUCUAGCCUCCCUGUCUUACCCCCCUUUAUGACCACUAACAUGAAGACACAGUGGGUUUUGGAUCAAUCUUCAAACAUGUUUAGGAAGGGUUGACAAGGUUACUCACAGCAUCGGCCAUAUACACAACAUAUCCUGACAAUACCAUGUAAAGACCCUCUGGCUCUCUACAGAAGGUGCUGCAGAUAAUUCAAUGUCUUGUGGGUUGUUAAAAAAUUAUACAUACAUAAUGUCAUCUUUUCUUGUUAGUCAUAUAUUUAAACAUCUAUAGCUAAAAUGAAGGGAAAUAAUAUUGUAAAGUAAGUCAUUUUUUACACAAUAUAUUUUAGUGCUCAUCAAAACAAUAAAUGAAGUGACUCCUACAAGACUAUGGACAAGUCCUGUAGACCAUCUCCCAACAUCUCAAGGCCUCAAUUCUUUGCAUUUUCUAAAAGCUGUUGAUAACUUCAAUUCCAAAUACAAUAAAAGUGAAAAUAACAUCAUACCUAUUAAAGAGGCCAACAAAUUAUUAUACAUAGUAAUUUAUGGAAAUGCUACAUCAUCUUUUCACUGUCAUUUAGUACUUGAUUAAGUUAAUAUCAAAAAAGAAAAACUAUUUUGUAAACCAAUUCAAUAACCCCAAUUAAUGAUUAAUUCUAUUUACUCAAAUAAUUAAACUAUUCUCCCAAGAUAAGAACAGUAUAAAAAUAGAAAACUGUCAGUGUGCUGUUCUUGUAUGUGAUCAAUUUAUUAAUAAUUAUAAGAUGCUACAUGGGUUCAGGGCCAAUAUCUGUCUCUCCUUACAACAGAAUAUUGUGCAUAAUUGGAUUUCCUAUUACUUGACGCUAUGCAGAAAGUAAUUAAUAUACCACACAAAUAUACAUAAAAAAAGACAGAUUGUUACAAAGUUUUAACAUUAUGGAAUGCAAGGUAUGGAAAGUGUGUCUGCAGUACUGUGAAACCUUUCUUCAUUGUCUGUGUAGGUGAAGUAAAAAAAUUACUUUAGCAUACAAUUCGUGGAUCACACACACACACACACACAGUCAUAACGUGUAACUCUUAGUGAUGACAACGAUACGUAACAUUGCACAACAAUCACUGUCUUGUCAGUAACAUGAAGAUAUAACUAGAGAUCUGUGGCCAGGGAACAGGUCUGGGUGAGAAAAUAAAUACAAUAUACACACAAGGGCAUCACCUCUAUUGUAUCUGUUAAGAGUGAAGAGGGUGAGAUAGAGUAGUGACUGGGUGUGAUGAGUCAUGAGCAAAGAGGGAGGAGAAGGUUGUGUGGGAGUUAUCACACCUGGGAAAGUACAUUAUAGUAUGUGUACAAAAGAUGAUGUAUAGAGGAAUGAAAGAUGUGCUAAGACGUCUCUCCUCUUAAGUCACCAUACAUCAGAUACAGGUAAGCAAACACCGCAGACUCCUGAUUUCUCACCGUAAAAUAUGGAUCAAUGUUCCUGGGUGAAGCAUGACUCAACCAACAGUGAAUUAAUUAAUGUAACUUAUAGGGUAAAAAUUAGACUGUUCCUGACUGGUCAAUUAGGGAAAUAUAUUUAGUAUUGAAAUGCUAAUACAGUACAAGUUACUGUAAAUGGUUAAAUAAUAAUGAUAGUCUACUGUAUAAUUAUGUAAAGACUGUAUUUUGCUAUAGUUCCUGAUAAAACAUUAACCAUGAGUGGAUGUGGGAGGAGAGGGCGUGUACGGCAAACUCUCUAAAGUACUGACAAUUUGGGGUGGAAAGUGCAGGAAUGAGAUAAAAGUCAUGCGUUAGGUCAUUAGUGGUGACCUAACUCUGAAGGGCUAACAAAGAACAACACAAUUCUUAAAAUAUCAACCAUGGUGAGCUUAUUGGGUGAGAGUUGUAUCAGAUAAGAGCCUCUUCCACUCCUGCUAGCUGUGUACAGUGAGGGAGAUUAUAUGAAGAGAGAUAGUUAAGGUAUGACUUUACUGGUUAAGGUAAUGUCUCAGUAUCAAUUUUGAGGUUAAUUUUGGACAUGAUGUGUAUGAUUCAGCUUCAGCAGUAGUUAGGUUUAUUCCAUAGGCAGGAGAGAGUGACAUAAGGUUGUGUAAAUGUAUGUAGUGAAGACAAUGUCAAGAGUUAAUUUUGAGCUAAAAUUGGUAGAUAUUUUUACAAUUAUAUGUUCCCUGGACUCCCCUUGGACACAGCCUGGAAUCAUUACACUCUUGCCUGGCAUGUUCAGCUUGUUACACCUACUCUCAAUAUAUAUAACCAUCUUUAGUAACUAUUAAUUUUAAAUACAGUACUAUGAUCAAAGUUCAAUUGCAAUGGGGGGGCCAUAAACAAGUGAGUAUGGAUAGUUGUGAUGGCCAUAACUGGGUGAGUGGUCAGUCUCGGCCUCACACCACAACACUAUCAAUACCGUGCGAUAUAAAAAUACAUUCCCUAUUUGUUGAGCCGUGAUAUAGCAGUUAUUUACCGUUCUCAUUAUACAGUAUGAUGUACUUAUGUGUGUACUGAUAAAUAUAAACAUUUUAUUGGUACUGUACAGGGUAUUUCAGAUUCGUGGCACCUGACAAAACGUGCACCACUGGCAAUAUCUGUAUGUAUUAAAAUAACGAUCUCAAGUUCUCUUUUUUUUACCGUGUACAGUACAAACAAUCCAGGGUGUUAAAAUACAAACAGGAGUCUAUUGUAUACUGUAAUAGUUAUAAUAAAGAGGCUCAAUCUAAACAUUCUUCAUGGAGACUCAAGAUGUGGGGUUUGUUACAUAUUCAGCCACUGGAGAAAAAAAAAUUUAAAUGAUGAACUUUUGGAGAAAUUUACAGAAAAAGAAGUACUGUGUGUCUGAUAGAAUGGUAACGACUCUUAAUAAACAGGUAAAUUGCCAAAGCACCUGAACAAUAAUUAAAGGGAAAAUUAUGCAUGGGUAAAAGUAAGCAAGAUUACCAUGUGUUUUGGUCCUUAUGGCAAUGAAAGCUUGUGAGAUUUGAUUAUGAAAUGAGGAGAGUGUAUACCAGUUGAUUAACCCCUUCACUAUGGGGACGCCACUUUCAGUAUUUCACGGCCAUUAGUAGACGAUUUUAUUCAGCUCAGAGGCGACCCCAGUACACAAGGGGUUAACAGAUGGAUUUUUUUAAUGAGGGACGUGAAGAAUAAGAGAGUUUUAAUGGACACAUGAUUGUCUUAUUUGGUUUGGCUGUAAUGAUAGCCUCGAGGCAGACCUCCCAUAACAGAGCCUGGUCUAAGGUAUUUUCACUUAAAGGACACAAAAAAACAACUUAUUUUCAUACAUAUACA
Long non-coding RNA from Homarus americanus (American lobster), 5002 nucleotides. RefSeq lists it as uncharacterized. Lineage: Eukaryota; Metazoa; Arthropoda; Malacostraca; Decapoda; Nephropidae. The record is from RefSeq and is a predicted model, not a curated record. The transcript has 2 exons.